CAAUGCCCUUCAAGUGUAAAUAAAGGUUUGAAACUAGAUAAAAAAACGUUUUAUUUGCAGGUGAUGCGUCAUUGGACUCUAGUAGCCCCGGUUUUGUGCCUUCUGUGUUUGUGAACACAAAACAAAGCCAGAACCCCGAUGCAAAGAUGGACAGGUACCAUAGGAAAAGGAGGAGAGAUGACAGACCUACCACUGCAGCAAAUCCUCCUGUUCCUUCUGAAACACCAGAACAAGAAUGCAGCAUGGAUCACUGUUCUGGCUUGUCAGCACUGCAACACCUGGGUCCACAACCUGCAGUUCCCGGAUGUCAUCAUCUGUCAACACUGAAAAUAGAGCCACAAAAAUAGACAAUAAUUGUGCUGCAUAAUCGUCAUUUUAAGAAUACUGACUGAAUUAUUCUUAAACCAGGUGUAAAAUAGAUGACAAAUAAUCUGAAGACAUGCACAGACAUAUUAAAGCUAACAUAACAAAUGAUACUGACAUUAUUCAAACUGUGUCUGUAGGCCUUUUCAUCUAUCUAUGCAUAAAUCCUCAGAAUUAAUAAAAUGCACUACGGCAAAAGGAAACUUAUCUAGGCUCUGUCAACUAUUACAUGCCUCUGGGUGUGAUACCACUCAUCCUAGCAGAUGUUGAAGCUGCUGGAAGCUGCCUACUUAGCCUCUUUGGUUUUUGGAAGCUGAUUUCCCUCAAUGGAGCUGGUCUGACUUCUUUCCUGCUGAUAUCUUUCCACAUGCACACUCCAGAAGUAACCGCUGCUUUCUCUGUCCUUCCCAUCCUGACAUAGAGCUCAACUUUGAACAAUAUUGCUGCAGCAUGACCCAAGUCUGAAAUUUCACAAAAACAUAAUAAACAUACUGUCUGCUCCAUAAUGUUAUGACCGGGGCUUGAAAGUAACAUUUUCUCUCAGACACAUGUCGUCUCUGGCUAUGAAGUAGGUGACUUACUAGACAUGUGAACAUGUAUCCGACCUAAGCUUAAUCAGGUUUUGAAUAUUUUGAACCCUGUUGCCACUGUGUGUAGUUCAUGGAAAUGUUAGUUUCAAACCCUGGUUAUGAGAAAGUUACAGGGACCAGGCAUACCAUUCUUGAUAUGGAAAGCAGAGUAAUAGCCUAAUGUAAACCUGAAAGGGCAGUAACACACAAGCAUAAUUCAUCUUUGCAUAACAACUAAGUAUAUCAUAGAGCUCUGAACUAUGUUAGCUACAACACCAAAUAAUAGGCAACUUACCCCGCCAUACAGGUGCAAUUCACUGUGAGGACGUCGUUUUCUCGUUGGUUAUAACCCAAGCCUCAUACAUCGUUGUCUUGUGUCCUUGUCUUCGACUAGGGAGGAUUUCUGAUUCCACCACACAAACCUCAAGAGUCUAUAUAGUGUCCGUUUUCCUAUAAAAGGCCGCUAAGAGGCUUAAGUGGGCUCCAGGCAGUUACGCGUCGUACAAUGAAUCCAAGUCCGGUGAUGAAUAUAGUUUGAGAAUUUUAUUGCUGCAGACCGAAUGACAAUUGAUGAAUGAAAACAUGGUUGUUUGACGACGACGACGACGACGGUAAACAGAAAAUAUAAUCAGGUGCGCCACUAACCCCCUUUCUCCCCGAGGCCCCGCUGAUCUGACUGCCCAGGUAUAUAGAUUAAGCCACACCCAUGUGUCAAUCAAACGGAAGUGACAUGAUCCCAAACAGUGUGACUAACCUUUCAAAAUAAACAAUAAACAAACAGACCAAAUAUGCAUUUUGGCCCCUACAAUUCCGGCCCCUAAUUAUUAUGUUUCAAAUAAUAAUUACAAAUUUGACAUAACAAUCAACAUAGUAUGUAAAUAUAUUUUCUUUCUUCAUUAUUUGUAAUCCGAUAUACGUUGUCCAAGGAAAGAGUGAUUAAUCAAAGUCAAGUGUUCAGGAACAAAGUCAAGGGGUCAAAAGUCAGUUUGGGUCAGUCAAUGAUCCGCUGCCUCCAGUAGUAGGCAGACUUUGGUGAUGGGCCUGGUCAGAAAUCCGGUCUUUGACUUGAUCCGAAGCUGACGUACAAGUCCCUUUUUGUCCAUAAUGGUCUCCACAAUCCUUCCAGUCAACCUGGAGUUGCGAGGCGCUGAAUCAUCCACAAUGAUGACGAUGUCUCCUGGUGUGAAGUUGCGUCUUAUGUUGGACCAUUUCUGUCGUUCUUGCAGUUGGGGAAGAUACUCCUUAAUCCACCUUUUCCAAAAUAAGUCAGACAUAUAUUGAACUUGCCUCCACCUGCGGCGAGCAUAUAGGUCUUCCUUCUGAAACUGUCCUGGUGGCAGGGAUGGCGUAGUUUUGAGAAGCAGAAGGUGAUUUGGUGUGAGUGCUUCAAGGUCGUUGGGAUCUGUAGAAGCCUUUGUGAUUGGACGACUGUUGAGAAUAGCUUCGGCUUCACAUAAAACUGUGUGGAGUCCCUCCUCAUCCAGACUUUGCACAUUUAGUGUUGAGUUGAGAACCUUCCGCACUGAUAUGAUUGUGGUGUGAGCCAGCAGGGGGAUUGAAUAUCCAGUUUAUUCCCUUUUGAAGCAGUAUGUCAUGGAUCUGACCUUGAUUCCAUCCUUCAAUAGCUUCCUUCAACUCGCGCUGUGCUCCCACAAAAUUGGUUCCAUUGUCUGAUCGUAGUUCCUUUACUUGGCCUCGUCUGGCUAUGAAGCGCCGAAGGGCAUGGAUGAAAGAGUGUCAAGCGAUGAGGCCAUUUCAAGGUGAAUUGCUCUUGUAGCCAAACAGGUGAAAAUAACACCAUAUCGCUUCACGACACUUCUGCCACGCUUCACUCCAAAGUAGGGAUGGGCAUUUGAAGAAAUUUCCUUGAUCGAGCAUCGCUAGAGUUAUCGAUCAAUUAUCGAUUAAUCAUUAACUUUUUUUUUUUUUUUUCUUUUUUUUU
Molecule: long non-coding RNA, 2874 nt
Organism: Gadus chalcogrammus (walleye pollock)
Lineage: Eukaryota; Metazoa; Chordata; Actinopteri; Gadiformes; Gadidae
Exons: 3
Source: RefSeq, a predicted model, not a curated record